This 2298-nucleotide long non-coding RNA is filed under the name Ananas comosus (pineapple). RNAcentral describes it as "long non-coding RNA (ACOM_LNC008441)". Lineage: Eukaryota; Viridiplantae; Streptophyta; Magnoliopsida; Poales; Bromeliaceae. The record is from RNAcentral.
AUAACAAAAAACUUCAAAGACCAUCCCUAUAGUUUCACACUCUCUCACUUUAGUACCAUGUGAUUUAAAGUAUAUUAAUUUAGUGCCCUAUGAUUUAUUUUUCUUUUUUUAUUAUCAAUUUCACUAAUUUUCUUAAAUCAGUGACAAAGUUAAAACUAAAGGGUUCACUUCUGCUGUUUGUUUCUAACUGUGGAAGUGCAGUUCUGCGAGUUCUAUUAUUAAUUUGUUUGGUAGGAAGUAGAUGACGUAAAAAGUAUAGCUUUCCACCCCCGGUAUACUUACCUCCAAAGUGAUAUCAUUGUCUAUUUUGUAACUUAUAGUAAAUAAUAAAUUAUAAUAAAUAAAAAUUAAUAUAAUUAUAUAUGUAUAUAAUUAUAUAUAUGUAUAAUUAUAAAAUAAAAUUUUAAAAAAUUAUAUUUUUUGUUUGCAUAUAAAUUAUAAUAAUGCAACAAAUAAAAUUCUAAAGUUAAAAAAUUAUUAAUAUUUAACAAAUUCAUUUUUCUUCAUUUUCUAAAUAUACAAAUUAAACAAAAAAUAUAUUAAAGCUUACCUUAUCAAAUUUCAUCAUAUUUUAGAAGAGGUAACCCUAACACAUUAAUCCAUUGUUAUCUUCUUUCACUUUACCGGAAUUGACUUCGUCCCAUGGGAGGGCGAAGUCAAGUUCAUUAUUUUAGGGCAUGCUUGUUUCAACGUAAGUAGACUUAGAGUGGAAGUGGACUUUGAGUUGAAGUGGAGUUGGGGUGAAAAUUAGUUCACUUCUGCUGUUUGUUUCUAACUGUGGAAGUGCAGUUUUACGAGUUCUGUUGUUUGUUUGGUAGGAAGUAGAUGACGUAAAAAAUGUAGCUCUCCAUCCCAGAUAUACUUACCUCCAAAGUGAUAUCAUUGUCUAUUUUGUAACUUAUAGUCAAUAAUAAAUUAUAAUAAAUAAAAAUUAAUAUAAUUAUAUAUGUAUAUAACAAUUAUAUAUAUGUAUAAUUAUAAAAUAAAAUUUUAAAAAAUUAUAUUAUUUGUUUGCAUAUAAAUUAUAAUAAUGCAACAAAUAAAAUUCUAAAGUUAAAAAAUUAUUAACAUUUAACAAAUUCAUUUUUCAUCAUUUUCUAAAUAUAUAAAUUAAACAAAAAAUAUAUUAAAGCUUACAUAAUCAAAUUUGAUCAUAUUUUAGAGAGGUAAUCCUAACACAUUAAUCCAUUCUUGCCUUUUUUUACUUCACCGGAAUUGACUUUGCUUCAUGAGAGGGCGAAGUCAAGUUCAUUAUUUUAGGUGAACUGGACUUUCGGACGUAAUAAAAUUACGAUGAACCAAACAGCGGAAGUGGUCAGUUUUCACCGAAAAUCACUUUCCCCGUCCCACUUCCACCCUACUUCCCUCGAAACAAACAGGCCCUAAAGUGAAUAUUCGAUAAACGUAGGUAGGUAUCUGAAGGAUUUUGCAUAUAAUUUAACGAAAUAUUUACGAAGAAACUGACAAAAAUAGAAAAAUAAAACCACGGGGCACUAAAUUGAUAUACUUUAAAUCACAGGAUACUGUAGUGAGAAAGUGCGAAACCAAGGGUGGUUUUUGAAGUUUAUCCUAUAAAUAAUUAACCUCCGAUAAUUCGUUCUUUUUCGUCCACUAGUCUCCUUGUUUAUUCCAGUCAACUGUGCAAAACGUCAACUCACUAAUUGUGUCAGGUUAUAUCUUCUAAAAUAUGACCAAAUUUUAUUAUGUAAGCUUUAAUAUAUUUUUUGUUUAAUUUGUAUAUUUAAAAAAUAAUGAAAAAUAAAUUUGAUGAAAUAAAAUUUAAAAAAAUUAUAUUAUUUGUUUGCAUAUAAAUUAUAAUAAUACAACAAAGAAAAUUUUAAAGUUAAAAAAUUAUUAAAUGUGUUAGGGUUAUCUCUUCUAAAAUAUGAUCAAAUUUGAUUAGGUAAGCUUUAAUAUAUUUUUUGCUUUAUUUGUAUAUUUAAAAAAUGAUGAAAAAUGAAUUUGAUAAAAUAAAAUUUUAAAAAAUUAUAUUAUUUAUUUGCAUAUAAAUUAUAAUAAUGCAACAAAUAAAAUUCUAAUAAUUAAAAAAUUAUUAACAUUUAACAAUUUAUUUUUCAUCAUUUUCUAAAUAUACAAAUUAAACAAAAAAUAUAUUAAAGCUUACCUAAUCAAAUUUGAUCAUAUUUUAAAAGAGAUAACCCUAACACAUUAAUCAAAUAUAUUAAAACUUACCUAAUUAAAUUUCGAACUUAAAAAACUUUAACCAAUUUCGAACUUAAAAACUCGGAUACUAAUUAUUAAGCUUUUAACCAAUUACCGUUAGUGACAUUUUGCAGA